GCCACAGGAGCUCCCACAGCUUUCCUUGAAAUAAGAGCAUCACCAACAGCUGGAAAAGGAAAAGCAGGAAAACUGCUCCUAGGCUGCCUGGUGAAUGAUUGCGCUUGCGGAAUUGCUGCCAUCAGUGGAAAGUGCAAGACUGCUCUGGGGAUGACCUGCAGGUCAAGAGCUGGAUGUGGAGAAGGAAUCUUAUAGUUCAUAAACAAGAUCAUAAGAGAACAACAUGUCUUGAUACCACUUCUACUGAGG
Centrocercus urophasianus (Greater sage-grouse) is the source of this 249-nucleotide long non-coding RNA. RefSeq lists it as uncharacterized. Lineage: Eukaryota; Metazoa; Chordata; Aves; Galliformes; Phasianidae. The transcript is spliced from 3 exons. The record is from RefSeq and is a predicted model, not a curated record.